RNAcentral lists this ribosomal RNA (444 nucleotides) under uncultured bacterium. Its description in RNAcentral is "bacterial SSU rRNA". It matches the Rfam family "Bacterial small subunit ribosomal RNA", at positions 26 to 507 of the family's 1533-position model. The record is from RNAcentral.
CUACGAGGACGAACGCUGGCGGUGUGCUUCACACAUGCAAGUCGAACGAGGUAGCAAUACCUAGUGGCGGACGGGUGAGUAACGCGUGGGAAUCUGCCUUUAGAUGGGGGAUAACGGGUCGAAAGACUCGCUAAUACCGCAUAUGACGAAAGUUGAAAGGAGUAAUCCGUCUAAAGAUGAGCCCGCGUCCGAUUAGCUAGUUGGUAGAGUAAAAGCCUACCAAGGCGACGAUCGGUAGCUGGUCUGAGAGGAUGAUCAGCCACAAUGGGACUGAGACACGGCCCAUACUCCUACGGGAGGCAGCAGUGGGGAAUUUUACGCAAUGGGCGAAAGCCUGACGUAGCGACACCGCGUGAGCGAAGAAGCCCCUUGGGGUGUAAAGCUCUGUCAGCUGGAACGAAAAAAAUGACGGUACCAGCAGAGGAAGCAUCGGCUAACUACGUG